GGUCUUUGCAGUAAUGCAAGGCAUACGGCUCAGUAACACGUAGUCAACUUACCCUAUGGACGAGGAUAAUCUCGGGAAACUGAGCAUAAUACUCGAUAGAUCAUAAUGCCUGGAAUGGUUUAUGGUUGAAAUGAUUCGUCGCCAUAGGAUGGGACUGCGGCCUAUCAGCUUGUUGGUGAGGUAAUGGCCCACCAAGGCGAUUACAGGUACGGGCUCUGAGAGGAGAGGCCCGGAGAUGGGUACUGAGACAAGGACCCAGGCCCUAUGGGGCGCAGCAGGCGAGAAAACUUUGCAAUGUGCGAAAGCACGACAAGGUUAAUCCGAGUGAUUUCUGCUAAAGAAAUCUUUUGCAAGUCAUAAAACCACUAGUGAAUAAGGGGUGGACAAGUUCUGGUGUCAGCCGCCGCGGUAAAACCAGCACCUCAAGUGGUCAGGAGGAUUAUCGGGCCUAAAGCAUCCGUAGCCGGCUCUGUAAGUUUUCGGUUAAAUCCAUGUGCUCAACGCAUGGGCUGCCGAAAAUACUGCAUAGCUAGGGAGUGGGAGAGGUAGACGGUACUCGGUAGGAAGGGGUAAAAUCCUUUGAUCUAUCGAUGACCACCUGUGGCGAAGGCGGUCUACCAGAACACGUUCGACGGUGAGGGAUGAAAGCUGGGGGAGCAAACCGGAUUAGAUACCCGGGUAGUCCCAGCUGUAAACGAUGCAGACUCGAUGAUGCAUUG
RNAcentral lists this ribosomal RNA (719 nucleotides) under uncultured archaeon. RNAcentral describes it as "bacterial SSU rRNA". It matches the Rfam family "Archaeal small subunit ribosomal RNA", at positions 56 to 781 of the family's 1478-position model. The record is from RNAcentral.